Molecule: transfer RNA, 85 nt
Organism: Felis catus (domestic cat)
Lineage: Eukaryota; Metazoa; Chordata; Mammalia; Carnivora; Felidae
Rfam family: tRNA
About the family: Transfer RNA (tRNA) molecules are approximately 80 nucleotides in length. Their secondary structure includes four short double-helical elements and three loops (D, anti-codon, and T loops).
Source: Rfam
GCCUGGGUGGCUCAGUCGGUUGAGCGUCCGACUUCGGCUCAGGUCACGAUCUUACGGUCCGUGGGUUCGAGCCCCGCGUCGGGCU